GACGAACGCUGGCGGCGUGCUUAACACAUGCAAGUCGAACGGAAAGGCCCUGCUUUUGUGGGGUGCUCGAGUGGCGAACGGGUGAGUAACACGUGAGUAACCUGCCCUUGACUUUGGGAUAACUUCAGGAAACUGGGGCUAAUACCGGAUAGGAGCUCCUGCUGCAUGGUGGGGGUUGGAAAGUUUCGGCGGUUGGGGAUGGACUCGCGGCUUAUCAGCUUGUUGGUGGGGUAGUGGCUUACCAAGGCUUUGACGGGUAGCCGGCCUGAGAGGGUGACCGGACACAUUGGGACUGAGAUACGGCCCAGACUCCUACGGGAGGCAGCAGUGGGGAAUAUUGCACAAUGGGCGGAAGCCUGAUGCAGCAACGCCGCGUGCGGGAUGACGGCCUUCGGGUUGUAAACCGCUUUCGCCUGUGACGAAGCGUGAGGGACGGUAAUGGGUAAAGAAGCACCGGCUAACUACGUG
Molecule: ribosomal RNA, 468 nt
Filed under: uncultured bacterium
Lineage: Bacteria
Description: partial 16S ribosomal RNA
Rfam family: Bacterial small subunit ribosomal RNA
Source: RNAcentral